This 342-nucleotide microRNA precursor is filed under the name Amborella trichopoda. RNAcentral's name for it is "miR8574 stem-loop (atr-MIR8574)". The record is from miRBase by way of RNAcentral. Lineage: Eukaryota; Viridiplantae; Streptophyta; Magnoliopsida; Amborellales; Amborellaceae.
UCAUGUACUUUGGAUUUCAAAUUGUGUGGUUGCAAGAGGGUCAUUUAAAAUGACUCAAAAGUUAAAAAAAAUAAAUUUAUUGAACUUUAUGACUAGUUUAAACCAUCCAAUUUGACAUCUUAUGAGUAAGAGUGAUUGUAACCUUUUUGUAAUAAAAACAAGAUAUUGUAUACAAUGAGACUAUUGAUAUUUUAUUAUAAGAAUGUCACAAUCACUUUUACUUAUUAGAUGUCAAAUUAGAUGGCUUGCGUUAAUCAUGGAGUUCGGAAUUUUUUUUUUUUAACUUUAGAUCUUUUUGAAGACGUCGUUACAACUACUCAUUUUGAAAUUCAAAGGAUAUGA